GUAUGGCGACUAUUGAUAUUUUGUCUCGUUCGUCGUAACUGGCAUCUUCUUGCCUGCCGACCAUCUGUUAUAUCACCACCCAUAUUCCGAGUCC
This is a non-coding RNA of Triticum aestivum (bread wheat), 94 nucleotides long. Lineage: Eukaryota; Viridiplantae; Streptophyta; Magnoliopsida; Poales; Poaceae. The record is from Rfam.